RNAcentral lists this ribosomal RNA (468 nucleotides) under uncultured bacterium. RNAcentral's name for it is "partial 16S ribosomal RNA". It matches the Rfam family "Bacterial small subunit ribosomal RNA", at positions 28 to 507 of the family's 1533-position model. The record is from RNAcentral.
GAUGAACGCUGGCGGCGUGCUUAACACAUGCCAGUCGAACGGUGAAGGCGGAGCUUGUUCUGCUGGAUCAGUGGCGAACGGGUGAGUAACACGUGAGCAAUCUGCCCCUGACUCUGGGAUAAGCGCUGGAAACGGCGUCUAAUACUGGAUACGAGCUGCGAAGGCAUCUUCAGCAGCUGGAAAGAAUUUCGGUCAGGGAUGAGCUCGCGGCCUAUCAGCUUGUUGGUGAGGUAAUGGCUCACCAAGGCGUCGACGGGUAGCCGGCCUGAGAGGGUGACCGGCCACACUGGGACUGAGACACGGCCCAGACUCCUACGGGAGGCAGCAGUGGGGAAUAUUGCACAAUGGGCGAAAGCCUGAUGCAGCAACGCCGCGUGAGGGACGACGGCCUUCGGGUUGUAAACCUCUUUUAGCAGGGAAGAAGCGAAAGUGACGGUACCUGCAGAAAAAGCGCCGGCUAACUACGUG